This 907-nucleotide long non-coding RNA is filed under the name Dermacentor andersoni. Its description in RNAcentral is "uncharacterized LOC126528426". The record is from RNAcentral. Lineage: Eukaryota; Metazoa; Arthropoda; Arachnida; Ixodida; Ixodidae.
CGAAAUAUGUGCCAUCAACAUGGUCAGUUUUUAUUUGUUAGUUUUUAUCCUCGAGGGCUCACCUGCUAUAAAUUGUAACUGCAAUACGUACCAUAAUGUAACUUCUAAAUAAACUUGAUUAAGAAAUUUCGGUAACUAGUAGAAUGUACAGUUUAAUUUCUUCUGGAAGUAAUGCUCAUCUCGUCUAUCCGGUUUAUGGUUCAAAAUAGCACCAUCGGUCAUAGGCGAUCAUAAUAUAUUCACUAUGGAAAUAAAAACGCUCUAUAUUGAAAACACUGUCAGCUGCCAUGCACAGUGUACAAUGUACAUCAGGUAGCUCUUGCGAAUACGGUGCAAAACCUUAUCUUCUUGCAACCAAAAAUAUUUUCUCUAUUCUUACAGCAGCGCACAGGCGCACACCAGCGCAUAGCGCUGCUUGUCGCCGUCUUGACGCUACGUUGUGGGUUGUGCGGCUUGGUGCAAGGAGAGCUUGCACCACUGCCCUUGCCAUCACUUCGGUAUUUGCCGUCAGGACACCACGAGCCGGGUUGUGCGGCUUGGUGCAGGGAGAGCUUGCACCACUGCCCUUGCCAUCACUCUGGUUGUUGCCGUCAGGACACCACGAGCCGGAAUACUACUGACAACGGCGCCAGAAUCGAACCGAAGACCUCACUGCGCGUCUUGAACGCUGACCUUUUCUCACCUCGGGUUGCCUCACUGUUUCGUAGCUGGUGUUCUCUCCAACCCACGAAAAAGGGCAGUUGUCAGCGGGCAAUUGUUCCACGCAUAGCAGGGGUAACAAGGUUUGAUUCAAGAUUGAACUUACGGUGCAUAUUGUUUUACGACAACCGGCCAACAUGGCAGCAGAGUGCGGACAAGAGAUGAAGAAUGAGCGCCUGCGUUCAGUGGUUGCCCACACAAAACCAAC